UACGUAGGGGGCAAGCGUUAUCCGGAUUUAUUGGGCGUAAAGAGCGCGUAGGCGGUUUGUUAAGUCAGAUGUGAAAACUGGGGGCUCAACCCGCAGCCUGCAUCUGAAACUGGCAGACUUGAGUCUGGUAGAGGAAAGUGGAAUUCCCAGUGUAGCGGUGAAAUGCGCAGAUAUUGGGAGGAACACCAGUGGCGAAGGCGGCUUUCUGGGCCACGACUGACGCUGAGGCGCGAAAGCUAGGGGAGCAAACAGG
Molecule: ribosomal RNA, 253 nt
Filed under: uncultured bacterium
Lineage: Bacteria
Description: partial 16S ribosomal RNA
Rfam family: Bacterial small subunit ribosomal RNA
Source: RNAcentral